GUCCAGACUCCUACGGGAGGCAGCAGUGGGGAAUAUUGCACAAUGGGGGAAACCCUGAUGCAGCGACGCCGCGUGAGCGAUGAAGUAUUUCGGUAUGUAAAGCUCUAUCAGCAGGGAAGAAAAUGACGGUACCUGACUAAGAAGCCCCGGCUAACUACGUGCCAGCAGCCGCGGUAAUACGUAGGGGGCAAGCGUUAUCCGGAUUUACUGGGUGUAAAGGGAGCGUAGACGGCUGUGCAAGCCAGAUGUGAAAGCCCGGGGCUCAACCCCGGGACUGCAUUUGGAACUGUGUGGCUGGAGUGUCGGAGAGGCAGGCGGAAUUCCUAGUGUAGUGGUGAAAUGCGUAGAUAUUAGGAGGAACACCAGUGGCGGAGGCGGCCUGCUGGACGAUGACUGACGUUGAGGCUCGAAAGCGUGGGGAGCAAACAGGAUUAGAUACCCCUGUA
Molecule: ribosomal RNA, 446 nt
Filed under: uncultured bacterium
Lineage: Bacteria
Description: bacterial SSU rRNA
Rfam family: Bacterial small subunit ribosomal RNA
Source: RNAcentral